Cimex lectularius (bed bug) is the source of this 3167-nucleotide long non-coding RNA. RefSeq lists it as uncharacterized. Lineage: Eukaryota; Metazoa; Arthropoda; Insecta; Hemiptera; Cimicidae. The transcript has 3 exons. The record is from RefSeq and is a predicted model, not a curated record.
CGUAUCUAGCCGAAGGUCGUGGGUUCGAAUCCCGCUCGUGACACUGACUUUUUUAUCUCAACUAAAGCCUUAAUUCGUUGGAAGUUAUAAUUAUGUUAAGUGUGGUUUAAUAUCUCAUCACCGACGUUCUAUGUUACUUGAGUUUCUUGUUUUUGUAUACCAGAAGAAAUUUGAGUGAAAAGAGCGGUAAAUCCUCUCUAUUGGCAAUAUGAUAUCGAUCUCGUGGUGCAUGCAGAGACGUGGAAGAUUUUCCAUCUGAGAUUAAUAACGGCGUGAUAAAGAUCGCUGAAGAUGGAAGAAUGAAACGUGAGCGCGGUUAUCAAACGAGUGGGCUCCGUUUGAUAAUCCGGGAGCGAGCUGAGUGUGAUCUGGCACUGAUGCCUGGGAUUUCGCAAGGCAUGGACAUUGAAGGAAUACCGGGGAAAAAGCGAUUUAUCACAAACGGCACUUUUAAAACAGCCGAACGGAUGAAGAAAAAAUCGACGAUUCCGCGGGAAUCAAUUUAAAGGGAAAGGAUUCGAAAUACGGCGUGCUACGGCCUCUUAUUAAGUACAACUGGAUUGCCUGGGUAACAAGUUGAAAGACUCCCAAUUAUUCUUUUAGGUAAAAACAAUAAAAAAAACAGCGUUCUUUGUUAAAUUCACAAAAGUGUUAAAAAACAGUUACAAGAGACGCAAACUAAAAUAUAUUGCUUUCUCUAAACCUUCUAAUAGAGAAAUAUUAUUACUUGAAGAUCAUCCAAUCUUGUAAGUUUCUUACUUAAAAUAUGCCUUAUAUCAGCAACUAUAUAAAAGUUAAUAUUCAAAAAAUACUAUAUAUCGGGGCUUCCCAAGCUGUGGUCCGCUUCGAUAUUCGAGAAAAAGUAAUAAUUACAAAAAUAAACGUCGAAUGAAUAAGUAAAAUUAAAAAAACCCUAAUAACAAUGAGUACUGAAAACGAAAGUUUUUAUUUUGCAGUAGCAGUGUUCUCACAGACCUGCUUUAGCUAUGAGACAAAGCUUCACCAUACAGGCCACCAUAGGCACAAGUCAGUGCGAAAGCACUUUUACGAUUGCAGGAAUUACGUUCUGCAGUCUUGUCUCUGUUGAUAUACCACAAUUUCUAAUUGGCCAACGUUUUCAAUUAUUAGCUAUUACAUCAGUUAAUAUGGCUAGCUGAGAACUAGAAGAGUGACAUUAAUGGAAGCAUGAUGAGCCGGAGAUGAAUGUUUACCGGCUUUUAGUAUAACCAACUUUGGCAAAUUCCAGAUUGUCUCAUACACAAGCAUUUGGUUAACAAGUUUGGUCACAUAAUAUUUCCACAGGAGGGAUUUUGCCUUCGAACAGCGGCCGUUUGAAGAGUCGUUGAUGUAUUGUCAGUUUUGAACAAAGGCGGAACAACGGUGUAUUGAAUUAAUUGUUGAAAAGCAAUCAAUGGGAGGAUAGAGUUCUUAUUUAUUUGCCAGUCACUUUACGAUCCUCGUUCACAAAGGGAUGAAAGGGGUUUCGAAGGUGGAAUUUCGGUGGAGUGUCCAUUAAACGUUUUAACAGAGGUUUCAUUUAUUCAUAAAUGAUCCCAAGCCGAGGGAACUUUAAGACAUUCUAAAAAGGUAGAAUCUUGAAUAAUCCUUCUCUAUAAUGCCAUUUGGAGAUUUUGUGUAAGGGGUUAUGCAUUAUAUAAAGCAAAUUUAUUUUGUGUUGUAGAAAUAAGGACUUGUUUUGAGAUAUCGAGCUAAAAACUUAACUUUUUUUAUCAUUUAAAUCAAUUUUCCCUGAUAAAAUUUCUGUUUUACCGAGAAACUGGAAAUUCAUCUAUAAACUAAACUGUAGUUAAGAUUUAUCAUAGUUAAUGAGCUUAUUAGUUACAUUUUAUUAUUAUUAUUAUUUUAUUUGUACCCUACAGAUAUUAUAUAUUAAUACCAGCACUGCACCCGCAGUACACAUGCCAUGAGAAACCAGCUAAUGCUGGCACUCUGUGUGAGGGAUAGGGACAAGAAGGUCCCGAGGCCAUCGUCGAUUAAAGGGAACAUGGCGUGUUCUCGGGAUGGGAUUUUGUAGAAAGGGCUUAAGAAGUAGGGUUAGGAUGGAUGGAAAAGAGGUUGAUGUGAAGCAUUUAGAAUCGGGUACAGAUCUAUCCUUUGACAAAAGGAAUGAUGAGGUCGUUGUGGAUUGUGAGGUGAGUGACGCAGUAAGGAGAUUUUACAAUUUAUCUGAGGACGUUUGAUUGGAAGGAUUGGAUGCUCUGGAUGUUGGAAGGCUAGGCAGAACCCGAUAGUUUCACUUAGUAUGCUCAAAGUGGUUAUAAGAUUAGGCUAUUUUUGAUGGGGCAGGUUAAAUUUCAGUCCUAGAUGUCUUCAUAGUUGUUCAAGUUUUCUGUUAAAUUUUUGUCUUUUACAUAUUCUAGUACAUCGUAGUGUAGACGUAGUUAGUGUGCAGUGACGUUUUUUUAACCCCACGGGGAAUUCAUUAAAGGAUUCGUGGUCAGAAGGAUGCCUUGAUCUCUCCCAGGCGACUCAGGCCUGGCAUUUUACGUACAGCAGGGUUCGCAAUGUGUGAUGGGUGAGGUUUGGGAGUUUUAGGAGCCCUGACGAGUUGUGCCAACCUGACUGCUGGGUAGCAGUAGCCAGGAUAUUCACAGAAUCGCCGCUCAUCUGGGGUUUAAGGAUAUGCUGAGGUCCGUGCCAAUUUAUAGGACAAGUCACUAGAGAUUCGGGAUUUGGCUUAGGAAUUGGAAUGACGGAUAUGGUUACAAGAAUACUACGGUCUGAGUAGAGAUCGUGGAGAGGUCCGAUGUUUCUUGAGAUGAAGAACCGAUGAGAACAGGGAGGCUGUUCACAUCAAAUGACCAAUUCGUAGGAAUAGAAUACAGAUGGAAAUUUCUUUACCUCUGCUAUCCAGUGCGCUGUCAGGAUGGCACAACGCGCCAGGCCUCUUAAAACCCCCAACUAUCCAAAUCCUUCCAUCAAUCCUUUAAUAAAUUAUCCCGUUUGACUGAAAAAGAAUUAAUAAUCCACCGCAACAAUGGUUUUGACUCCUAACUAUCCAAACUAAUAAAACUAACAUUUCAAACUUUCUCUAUCUAUAGUAAUAAGAAAUUUAUGUAAUAAUACGUAAUAUUUGAUGAAAUAACUGCAUUUUCUAGUCGCAUUAAGAGUGAAAUAAUAAAAUGUUUGAAAUAAUGAUUGAAAUA